GCCUGUUUGGGAAGUACAGUUAAUAAAAUUGGGAUGACACAGAGAAGAUCAACAUAGCCCCUGCACAAGGGUGACACACAAAUUUGUAAGCCAUUUUCCAUAUUC
Molecule: small nuclear RNA, 105 nt
Organism: Dipodomys spectabilis (banner-tailed kangaroo rat)
Lineage: Eukaryota; Metazoa; Chordata; Mammalia; Rodentia; Heteromyidae
Source: RefSeq, a predicted model, not a curated record